CUAGCGACUUCAGAGUUUGAUCCUGGCUCAGGAUGAACGCUAGCUACAGGCUUAACACAUGCAAGUCGAGGGGCAGCACGGAGAUAGCUUGCUAUCUUGGGUGGCGACCGGCGCACGGGUGAGUAACGCGUAUCCAACCUGCCCAUUACUCGGGGAUAGCCUUGCGAAAGUAAGAUUAAUACCCGAUGUUGUUUAUUGCCCGCAUGGACGAUAAACCAAAGAUUUAUUGGUAAUGGAUGGGGAUGCGUGACAUUAGGUAGUUGGUGGGGUAGUGGCUUACCAAGGCUUUGACGGGUAGCCGGCCUGAGAGGGUGACCGGCCACAUUGGGACUGAGAUACGGCCCAG
Molecule: ribosomal RNA, 346 nt
Filed under: uncultured bacterium
Lineage: Bacteria
Description: bacterial SSU rRNA
Rfam family: Bacterial small subunit ribosomal RNA
Source: RNAcentral